Molecule: long non-coding RNA, 211 nt
Filed under: Elaeis guineensis (African oil palm)
Lineage: Eukaryota; Viridiplantae; Streptophyta; Magnoliopsida; Arecales; Arecaceae
Description: long non-coding RNA (EGUI_LNC015799)
Source: RNAcentral
UUGCAAGAAAGGUCCAAGUAACUACAAUAUAAUGGAAUUGGGGUCAUUCCAGUGGUUCUUAUCUCUUAAAGUAAAAAUCACCUCUUCUUUUGAGCAAAUGGAAGGGUUAAAGCUCCCUUCUUUUUUCUGCCAAAAGUGUCAUUAGAAGAACAAAAAUUGAUAAUCACAAAUAUCAAACCAUAUCAUAUACAUUAAUUGUGCAAUGUCGAGU